RNAcentral lists this ribosomal RNA (253 nucleotides) under uncultured bacterium. RNAcentral describes it as "partial 16S ribosomal RNA". It matches the Rfam family "Bacterial small subunit ribosomal RNA", at positions 524 to 776 of the family's 1533-position model. The record is from RNAcentral.
GACGUAGGGUGCGAGCGUUGUCCGGAUUUAUUGGGCGUAAAGAGCUCGUAGGCGGCUCGUCGCGUCGACCGUGAAAACCCGCGGCUUAACUGCGGGCUUGCGGUCGAUACGGGCAGGCUAGAGUUCGGUAGGGGAGACUGGAAUUCCUGGUGUAGCGGUGAAAUGCGCAGAUAUCAGGAGGAACACCGGUGGCGAAGGCGGGUCUCUGGGCCGAAACUGACGCUGAGGAGCGAAAGCGUGGGGAGCAAACAGG